This 253-nucleotide ribosomal RNA is filed under the name uncultured bacterium. RNAcentral describes it as "partial 16S ribosomal RNA". It matches the Rfam family "Bacterial small subunit ribosomal RNA", at positions 524 to 776 of the family's 1533-position model. The record is from RNAcentral.
UACGAAGGGGGCUAGCGUUGCUCGGAAUGACUGGGCGUAAAGGGCUCGUAGGCGGCCAACUAAGUCGGACGUGAAAUCCCUCGGCUUAACCGGGGAACUGCGUCCGAUACUGGAUGGCUUGAGUUCGGGAGAGGGAUGCGGAAUUCCAGGUGUAGCGGUGAAAUGCGUAGAUAUCUGGAGGAACACCGGUGGCGAAGGCGGCAUCCUGGACCGAUACUGACGCUGAGGAGCGAAAGCCAGGGGAGCAAACGGG